ACCUCCUUCUACUUGAUAAUUAACCAAAAAUUAAAUUUUCCUUUAAAUUUAAAUUUAAUAAAAUUUAUGUCAUUAAAAGAUUAGCUUAAAGAUGUACUUACUUCCAAAAUUUCUUAAUAAUUUAUUUAGGAAGCAUUGAGAAAUGCCUUUUCAAAGGUAGGUGAUCUUAGCUAUUAAGGCAGUUGACCUUUGCCCAUUCAAAAUUCUACCAAAAUCUCGUCCUUACUCCAAAUCAAGCAAUUCUUAUUUUUUUGGAAAGCUAACACUAAAAGCUACAACUUAAAAAAAAUCAUUGAAAUUCAUUGAAAUUCAAAAAAUUGAAUGACUAAUUGAGGUAAAUCUGAGGCUUUUGAAUCUUUGGGAUAUUUGGAAGACACAGGAAGCCACUCUUAUACAAUUGAAUGGUGGCUUGUGAGAGGGCAACCACAUCUCCAUCCUUGAUCUCUAAGAUCCCUAAUAUAGAUCUAUGGCCUUCAUUCAUCUAAAAGCCAAU
This 493-nucleotide long non-coding RNA is filed under the name Physcomitrium patens. RNAcentral describes it as "long non-coding RNA (PPAT_LNC006841)". The record is from RNAcentral. Lineage: Eukaryota; Viridiplantae; Streptophyta; Bryopsida; Funariales; Funariaceae.